UGGUUCUGUAGGUGUACAGAAAUUACACCUCAAACAGAGUACCAUCUGCUGUAAGUUACUUCAAGGGAUCUGGUUUUGAGUGUUGCAGGAUCAUCUGCUGAAGCUACACUGGCUGGUUCUCACCCCAAAGGUUGGUGUAGGUGUCACUUCAGGGGGAGUUAACCAGAUAUGUUUAUAUUUUUCUUUUUGGUUGCAUUUGAGUGUCUAAUUACCUGCUUGCUUUCUUUUCUUUUCUUUUUUCUUUCUUUCUUUUAAUUGUCAGUCUCUUUGACUGUUUUAGAUCAAUAAGGGACGUCCCCGUAUUCAAGGAACAGUUUCAACAUGACAAUGACGGUAAGCUUAACUCUAAAUAUUACCUUUAUAAUCAGAAUUUGUGCUCUUUAUUGUCUGCUUUUGAACUAUAAAUUUUUUUAUAUAAUUGACACCUUUUA
Long non-coding RNA from Magnolia sinica, 431 nucleotides. RefSeq lists it as uncharacterized. The record is from RefSeq and is a predicted model, not a curated record. The transcript has 3 exons. Lineage: Eukaryota; Viridiplantae; Streptophyta; Magnoliopsida; Magnoliales; Magnoliaceae.